ACGAACGCUGGCGGCGUGCUUAACACAUGCAAGUCGCACGGAAAGGCCCUGCUUUUGUGGGGUGCUCGAGUGGCGAACGGGUGAGUAACACGUGAGUAACCUGCCCUUGACUUUGGGAUAACUUCAGGAAACUGGGGCUAAUACCGGAUAGGAGCUCCUGCUGCAUGGUGGGGGUUGGAAAGUUUCGGCGGUUGGGGAUGGACUCGCGGCUUAUCAGCUUGUUGGUGGGGUAGUGGCUUACCAAGGCUUUGACGGGUAGCCGGCCUGAGAGGGUGACCGGCCACAUUGGGACUGAGAUACGGCCUAGACUCCUACGGGAGGCAGCAGUGGGGAAUAUUGCACAAUGGGCGGAAGCCUGAUGCAGCAACGCCGCGUGCGGGAUGACGGCCUUCGGGUUGUAAACCGCUUUCGCCUGUGACGAAGCGUGAGUGACGGUAAUGGGUAAAGAAGCACCGGCUAACUACGUG
RNAcentral lists this ribosomal RNA (467 nucleotides) under uncultured bacterium. RNAcentral's name for it is "partial 16S ribosomal RNA". It matches the Rfam family "Bacterial small subunit ribosomal RNA", at positions 29 to 507 of the family's 1533-position model. The record is from RNAcentral.